AACGAACGCUGGCGGCAUGCCUAACACAUGCAAGUCGAACGGGAUCCUGGUUUCGGCCAGGUGAGAGUGGCGGACGGGUGAGUAACGCGUGGGAACCUGCCCAGUGGUGGGGGAGUAACUGCGGGAAACUAGCAGCUAAUACCGCAUGAGCCCGAAAGGGAAAGAUGAUCGCCAUUGGAGGGCCGCGUUCGAUUAGGUAGUUGGUGAGGUAACGGCUCACCAAGCCUUCGAUCGAUAGCUGGUCUGAGAGGAUGAUCAGCCACACUGGGACUGAGAUACGGCCCACGACUCCUACGGGAGGCAGCAGUGGGGAAUAUUGGACAAUGGGGCGAACCCUGAUCCAGCAAUGCCGCGUGAGUGAUGAAGGCCUUCGGUU
This 376-nucleotide ribosomal RNA is filed under the name uncultured bacterium. RNAcentral's name for it is "bacterial SSU rRNA". It matches the Rfam family "Bacterial small subunit ribosomal RNA", at positions 29 to 423 of the family's 1533-position model. The record is from RNAcentral.